Anguilla rostrata (American eel) is the source of this 984-nucleotide long non-coding RNA. RefSeq lists it as uncharacterized. The record is from RefSeq and is a predicted model, not a curated record. NCBI's taxonomy places the organism in Eukaryota, Metazoa, Chordata, Actinopteri, Anguilliformes, Anguillidae. The transcript has 3 exons.
UUUCUCACUUGGCAACGUCCAUCUUCUCCACUGUUCUAUGCAUUACCUCGCAUUUUUAUGUUGCUCUAAGUGGUGUUCCAGUCUUCUAUGCAUUCAAUUCAGGCACUUAACACUAGACAAGUGAGAGAUGACUCUUAUUGCUCAAUUUAUAAAUCAGCGGGAAAUGAAUAUGCUGCUCUUCGGGAAUUAAAGUAGCUGUGGACAGUGCAACAGCACCCUCUUCUGGAGACUGUUAAAUCCUACAAAAUUCUAGGAGUAGUUGUUCACGUCUCAGAUUUUCUGAGGUUUGACAAGUGCCAUGUUGGCAGCAGACAGAAGGCUUUAGAAUCAGGUGUUCUCAUCAGUCAGUUCCACUUUCAGGUGUUUCCAUUCUCAAAAAAAAACAAACAAACAGAAAAAAGGAACAAACGACACAUUAAAAGUCACUCAACAAGCCAUUUCUGCUGCAUCUGCCAUUGCCAUUUGGAUUAUUUUGUAUCUGUGGUAUAAAUGCACAUACCAGCUACUGUCUGGAGAGUAAAAGGCAGGCAUGAAGAAUAAUGAUUUCCUGCUCACCAGAGGACAGCUUAUAGCUUUUCCACAUUGAACCAAACAGAAAGGAAACAUUCAUCAAACAGUAUGGCUGGGCGGAGAAGAGACAGAAAAAGGACACAUCGCUCCAGAGUUCAGGGUGAGGGCGCGAGUCACUGGCCGGGCCAGCAGGGAGUUCUGCUCGUGGUCACAGUUAAGCUAUAAUCAUCUCAAAUCUCCAUCACACAGGAACCUAUGCCUGUUUGCGUCUGGGCAUCUAAGGCAUGUGUGGUGGACCAUCAGCAUGCUAAGCCAGUAUAGUUAAAAUAAACAUCAUACUGUAUCAUUACCUGUGUGGAUUCCUCCCAAGUAAGUAUGCAAUGACUUCACAAAGCUCUGAAAUGAAGAUUCAGUGUCUUGGCAUGUAUGAUCAAUCCAUCUAUCCAUACAUCCAUCCAUCCAUUAUCUUCCCUG